UACAGAGGUCUCGAGCGUUGUUCGGAUUCAUUGGGCGUAAAGGGUGCGUAGGUGGCGGGGUAAGUCGGAUGUGAAAUCCCGGAGCUCAACUCCGGAGCUGCAUUCGAUACUGCCUUGCUUGAGUACUGGAGAGGAGAUCGGAAUUUACGGUGUAGCAGUGAAAUGCGUAGAUAUCGUAAGGAAGACCAGUGGCGAAGGCGGAUCUCUGGACAGUUACUGACACUGAGGCACGAAGGCCAGGGGAGCAAACGGG
This 253-nucleotide ribosomal RNA is filed under the name uncultured bacterium. RNAcentral describes it as "partial 16S ribosomal RNA". It matches the Rfam family "Bacterial small subunit ribosomal RNA", at positions 524 to 776 of the family's 1533-position model. The record is from RNAcentral.